GUAGCUCAGUUGGUAGAGCAGCGGACUGAAAAUCCGCGUGUCGGUGGUUCGAUUCCGCCC
Molecule: transfer RNA, 60 nt
Filed under: Deltaproteobacteria bacterium
Lineage: Bacteria; Pseudomonadati; Myxococcota; Myxococcia
Description: tRNA-Phe
Rfam family: tRNA
About the family: Transfer RNA (tRNA) molecules are approximately 80 nucleotides in length.
Source: RNAcentral